Molecule: ribosomal RNA, 443 nt
Filed under: uncultured Pseudomonadota bacterium
Lineage: Bacteria; Pseudomonadati; Pseudomonadota
Description: bacterial SSU rRNA
Rfam family: Bacterial small subunit ribosomal RNA
Source: RNAcentral
CCUACGGGGGGCUGCAGUGGGGAAUAUUGGUCAAUGGGCGAAAGCCUGAACCAGCAAUACCGCGUGAGUGAUGAAGGCCUUCGGGUUGUAAAGCUCUGUCAGUGGGAACGAAAAAAAUGACGGUACCCACAAAGGAAGCACCGGCUAACUCUGUGCCAGCAGCCGCGGUAAUACAGAGGGUGCAAGCGUUGUUCGAAAUUACUGGGCGUAAAGAGCGUGUAGGCGGUUAGAUAAGUCAGACGUGAAAUCCCUUGGCUCAACCAAGGAACUGCGUUUGAAACUGUUUGACUAGAGUAUCGGAGGGGAUGGCGGAAUUCCUGGUGUAGAGGUGAAAUUCGUAGAUAUCAGGAGGAACACCCGUGGCGAAGGCGGCCAUCUGGAAGAUUACUGACGCUGAGACGCGAAAGCGUGGGGAGCAAACAGGAUUAGAUACCCCGGUAGUC